Molecule: ribosomal RNA, 590 nt
Filed under: uncultured haloarchaeon
Lineage: Archaea; Methanobacteriati; Methanobacteriota; Halobacteria; Halobacteriales; Halobacteriaceae
Description: bacterial SSU rRNA
Rfam family: Archaeal small subunit ribosomal RNA
Source: RNAcentral
GAAACUUAAAGGAAUUGGCGGGGGAGCACUACAACCGGGGGGAGCCUGCGGUUCAAUUGGACUCAACGCCGGACAUCUCACCAGCCCCGGACAGUAGUCGUGACGGUCAGGUUGAUGACCUUACCCGAGCUACUGAGAGGAGGUGCAUGGCCGCCGUCAGCUCGUACCGUGAGGCGUCCUGUUAAGUCAGGCAACGAGCGAGACCCGCACCCCUAGUUGCCAGCAGCAGCCAUUGGCUGGCUGGGUACACUAGGGGGACUGCCGCUGCCAAAGCGGAGGAAGGAACGGGCAACGGUAGGUCAGUAUGCCCCGAAUGGGCUGGGCUACACGCGGGCUACAAUGGCCGGGACAGUGGGAUGCGACCCCGAGAGGGGAAGCUAAUCUCCUAAACCCGGUCGUAGUUCGGAUUGAGGGCUGAAACUUGGCCUUCAUGAAGCUGGAUUCGGUAGUAGUCGCGUCUCAUCAAGGCGCGGCGAAUACGUCCCUGCUCCUCGCACACACCGCCCGUCAAAGCACCCGAGUGAGGUCCGGAUGAGGCCGCCGCGAGGCGGUCGAAUCUGGGCUUCGCAAGGGGGCUUAAGUCGUAACAA